AAAACUAACAUACAUCCUCUACUUCUUUGAGGAAUCCAUCGUUGUGCAUUAUGGUAUAUUCAUUAAUCGUAUACCGCACAUCAAAAUUAUUAGAUGGAAUAAUUGGUGUCCGACCUUGAAUCAAUUGAGAGGGAAGAAAUAAUCAUAAUUUAUUGGUCUAAUGCAUACAAAUAUUAUUGCAAUAUAUCAAAUUUUUAGACCAAUACAUUAAGUUUUGUUCUCAUUAACCAUGGUUUAGAUAUUUAUCAAAGAUAUUCAAUGCUAAACCAUCAUCAUCAAGAUGUAUUAUCUUGAUUAUACAAUCUGAAAACUAUGCUCAAUUUAUAUUGAACAAGUAACUUUAUGAAUGUCAAACGUAGGUUGACCAUAAAUGUACAUGUGAUCAUCUUAUUGAUGAAUCUUUUCAACAUACACAUGAUAGGUGAACGGGGCCCUUAUUCACCUUUUAUUCUUUUCAGAUUUGAAGGGAUCCAAUCCCAAUAUUAGUUGGUCCAACCAACUUAUCAUGAGAACAAGCGACAUAAACAAUUCUUGAAGAAUCUUCUAGUUCUUCAAUACAUGCACAUCUUCAAGAUGUCACAAUCGUUCAUAUCAAUUUAUGAAAUUUUAUUCUAGUAGACUCCAAGUUUACCAUGACAUGUACUUUUUCUUUAGUAAAUUUAAGAUUUACUAUUACAUGAAUAAUUCAGAUUUACUACUUCAGAAGUAGAUUUCAAAAUUAUUCAACCUCUUUCGGAGGUGAGUUGUGAUACAAUCACAAUCAAGUGCACGUUUGCAUUAAUAAGUUUCUCAUUCCCCAGGAAUGGAAUAUAAUCAUGCCUUAAGUAAGUCUAUCAAAUUAUGAUAACUUAUAAUCUCUUUCAAGAUUUUGCUACUUCAGAAGCAAAUCGAGACAUACAUAUAAUGUAGAGAAUUUUUCUCUAGCAUAUCUUAUAAUCAUAUAAACGUGUAAAAAUAUCAUCACUUUUGAUGAUCAUUAUCAUAUUGUCCCUCUACGCGUAUAUUCGUGCAUUCAAUCACUUGUCUUCUUUCAGACAUAUUAUGCACUGCUACCACAUACACCUCAAGAAUGAAGUAAGUUGUCAUAUUUCAGACUUAUCAUAUAUUGCUACGACAUUCACUUCAUGAAAUGGAGCAUACUCAAUGGGUCGAAUUUCAUGACUUUUCAUUAAAUAUCCAUUAUUUUGCUUUAGCCAUCAUAAUAUAUCAGUAUGGUGCAUUGAAAUUCAAACUCAACGUUUUAUCCAUAUAAAGGAGUCUUAGGCAUAAAUUGAUGGGACUUGAACCCAACAUAUUAUCAUUUCUUUUGAUAAUAUUGUUCUUGAGAAAUAAAUUCAAAAUAUAAAUGGUUCCAAACCAAUUAUUUUUUCUCAAAUCCAACAAUAAUUAUAUCAUUAAUAGAAAAAUACAAAUAACAUAAGGAAUUACUAACCUUGACCUUUAGAUUUAUAAUCCCACCUUGUUUGGCAGAGUCUCGUGCUGAUAAUGUGUUAUAAAGCAAUAAAGAACAAAGAAGAAGAGUAGAGAGAAUAGAGAGAGUGGUUCUUAUUUCUUCUCUUGAGGGAUGAGUGAUUAU
This 1576-nucleotide long non-coding RNA is filed under the name Capsicum annuum. RNAcentral's name for it is "long non-coding RNA (CANN_LNC021829)". The record is from RNAcentral. Lineage: Eukaryota; Viridiplantae; Streptophyta; Magnoliopsida; Solanales; Solanaceae.